RNAcentral lists this long non-coding RNA (248 nucleotides) under Panax ginseng (ginseng). RNAcentral's name for it is "long non-coding RNA (PGIN_LNC002993)". The record is from RNAcentral. Lineage: Eukaryota; Viridiplantae; Streptophyta; Magnoliopsida; Apiales; Araliaceae.
CGGCCCAAUAUUAUAAAGACUUAACAAAGAUAAUAUAAGGACUAAGCCCAAUAACUUUAGGAUCCAAUAAUGAUGACCCAAUGGACUAACCGAAUAAGUAGGCCCAAUCCCUUCGGCCCAAUAUGUGAAAUAUCAUGACCCAACAUUGCCCCCUAGUUUUUUAUUAAACAGAAUGUUUAAUAAGAAACUAUAAAUGGUGUAUGAUAUGAUAGGACUUACUAAAGGCCCAUAAUGAAAGUAAUUAAAAU